This 297-nucleotide long non-coding RNA is filed under the name Fukomys damarensis (Damara mole-rat). RNAcentral describes it as "lncRNA (ENSFDAG00000025583.1)". Lineage: Eukaryota; Metazoa; Chordata; Mammalia; Rodentia; Bathyergidae. The record is from RNAcentral.
UUUUUAAGAAGUUCCAGUGUAAUCCUCUGGGCAUCUUUCUCUUGUCCCUUCUUCAGGCUGAAAGCAACAGAUGAAGUUCUACAAGAUGGAAGGCAGACAUGAAGGAAGAAGGAGCUGCACUUGGAAGGAUUAUAUGGAUCUUUGUUAGACAGUCUUAUGGGAAGAAAAGAUUUACUGAAUGAAGAUACUGAAAUUUUAAGGAUAAUGAUAGAAUGUAAGUUCAAUUCUGUCUUUCUCCACUGCUUGCCAAACAUCUAGCACAGGACCUGCCACAGGGUAUGUGCUCACUAUAUAGUU